UCGAGAAUCUUUCGCAAUGCCCGAAAGGGUGACGAAGCGACGCCGCGUGCGGGAGGAAGGCCUUCGGGUUGUAAACCGCUGUCGGGAGUUAAGAAAUGCAAGGAUGUUAAUAGCGUUCUUGCUUGACUAAGGCUCCGGAGGAAGCCACGGCUAACUCUGUGCCAGCAGCCGCGGUAAUACAGAGGCGGCAAGCGUUGUUCGGAAUUAUUGGGCGUAAAGAGCACGUAGGCGGCUGUGUAAGUCGGUUGUGAAAGCCUUCCGCUCAACGGAAGAACGGCAUCCGAUACUGCAUGGUCUUGAGUGUGGGAGGGGAGAGUGGAACUUCUGGUGGAGCGGUGAAAUGCGUAGAUAUCAGAAGGAACACCGGCGGCGAAGGCGACUCUCUGGUCCAUAACUGACGCUGAGUGUGCGAAAGCUAGGGGAGCAAACGGGAUUAGAUACCCAAGUAGUCCCUGAGCGGGCUGGCAAGGCGCAU
Molecule: ribosomal RNA, 475 nt
Filed under: uncultured bacterium
Lineage: Bacteria
Description: bacterial SSU rRNA
Rfam family: Bacterial small subunit ribosomal RNA
Source: RNAcentral